RNAcentral lists this ribosomal RNA (522 nucleotides) under Leptodophora orchidicola. Its description in RNAcentral is "eukaryotic LSU rRNA". It matches the Rfam family "Eukaryotic large subunit ribosomal RNA", at positions 69 to 594 of the family's 3401-position model. The record is from RNAcentral. Lineage: Eukaryota; Fungi; Ascomycota; Leotiomycetes; Helotiales.
CAGGGAUUACCUCAGUAACGGCGAGUGAAGCGGUAACAGCUCAAAUUUGAAAGCUGGCUCUUUUAGGGUCCGCGUUGUAAUUUGUAGAAGAUGCUUCGGGUGUGGCCCCGGUCUAAGUUCCUUGGAACAGGACGUCAUAGAGGGUGAGAAUCCCGUAUGUGACUGGGUGCUUUCGCUCAUGUGAAGCUCUUUCGACGAGUCGAGUUGUUUGGGAAUGCAGCUCAAAAUGGGUGGUAAAUUUCAUCUAAAGCUAAAUAUUGGCCAGAGACCGAUAGCGCACAAGUAGAGUGAUCGAAAGAUGAAAAGCACUUUGGAAAGAGAGUUAAACAGUACGUGAAAUUGUUGAAAGGGAAGCGCUUGCAACCAGACUUGCGCGCUGAUGAUCAUCCGGGCUUCUGCCCGGUGCACUCGUCUGCGCUCAGGCCAGCAUCGGUUUCGGUGGUGGGAUAAAGGCCUUGGGAAUGUGGCUCCUCUCGGGGAGUGUUAUAGCCCUCGGUGCAAUGCCGCCUACCGGGACCGAGG